UGCUCGAAAAGGCAAAGCCAGGGUAACCUGGCGGCGCAAAGCGGUGCACCCCGCAAAAAGUGGGGCUGGCAGGCUGCCGAA
RNAcentral lists this non-coding RNA (81 nucleotides) under Candidatus Omnitrophota bacterium. Its description in RNAcentral is "Omnitrophica WOR c-di-GMP sequence". It matches the Rfam family "c-di-GMP-I riboswitch aptamer". Rfam says of the family: GEMM was predicted in a large-scale screen for bacterial structured RNA regulatory elements. Lineage: Bacteria; Pseudomonadati; Candidatus Omnitrophota. The record is from RNAcentral.